Molecule: long non-coding RNA, 1738 nt
Filed under: Homo sapiens (human)
Lineage: Eukaryota; Metazoa; Chordata; Mammalia; Primates; Hominidae
Description: non-protein coding lnc-WFS1-3:5
Source: RNAcentral
UGCGGUUCGGUGGCUGGACUUGCGUCCCCCACCUCCUCUGUCGCGCGUGCCCUGCUCCCCAGUGAGGGCGUCCCUGGGAUGGGAUCUGGGCGCCCGGCGCAGCGCGGCUGACAACAGCCGAGCGGUUCCGGUGCGCUGGCACGUGGCUCGGGCCUGCCCCCCCGGCCUGGCCGCCUCCCGGCGCGUUCCCCGGUGCAGGUGCCUGGCCCGUGCCCCGCCAUCUCCGCCCGGCGCCGCCUGUGCUGAAGGAGCCACGCCCCGGGCUCCGGAGCCUGCCUCUGCAAAGUCCAGGCCCGCGGCGCGCAGGUCAGGGCCGCUGCUCCGGGCGGACGGGGACGCGCGGUCACAGGCAACUCCUGUCCUAAGGGCAAGUGAGACAGGAUCAGGGCUGGUAUGAAGGCAUCUCCAUUAGCAGGGAACCAGACACCUUCCAUCUGACUGCUCUGCUAUCCUUCGCAUGCUGCCUCAUGGUCCAAAGUGGCUGCUGAGCACCAGCCUUCGUGUCUGCAUUCUAGCCAGCAGGAACGAGAAAAGGAAAGGGGGCUGGCCUAAAGGCAAGAAGAGAAACCCCCCGAGGGACCUUGCUGUUCCGUGUUCCUACGACAGGGUACAUGAUAUUCCUGAAUGAGCAGAGAAGUCAGCUGAGGGCCACACACCCCGAUCUGCCUUUCACAGAAAUCAUGAAGAUGCUGGCUGUUCAGUGGGCCCAGCUGUCUCAGGAUAAAAAGGGGGAGAUGAACUCAAUGACCUCUACUGCGGGACCUCCAGGCAGCUCUUCAGCUCCCUGUGCAACAAGAAGGAACCUGCUGCAAAGGCAGCACCUGCAGCGCCUCUCAGGUAACCAGCCUGGGCCAGGCGGCUCAGCCGCAAACGCUGGCCUUGACUCCACCUGCGCCAGAGGUCACCAACAGGCGGCCCACGUGACACCUCUUGUUAUUAAAAUGCAAUUUUAAGACAGACUCUAGUCAAGCCCACUUACCACCAGGUGGGUGUUUAGGACAGGGUAGGUCUUCCACUAUAUCUGUUUUCCUCUUAGUUCGCCAGGCCCGCCUGCUCUGGGCCACGCAGGACACGGACGUCAGCUUCUCCUGGAGCGCUCGCUCACUUUAUUCCAUCUCUACGAGCUCCUCAAGUAUCCCAGAGCAUCCCCAGGCCUGUGGCCACCUCGGGUCUGGAUGCCGCAUUCUCUGACCUGUGGCACAUUCUGGGUGCCCAUGAUUAUGAUGAGGUUCUGUGCCCAUGUGGCCUCAGGGCUCUUGAGACCACCCUUCAACCAGGUCUUUGCUCACCUGUCUCCUGCCCAGGGACGCCACCCAGGUCACCGGUGCAAACCUCCAGCCCCUGCCCGUUUCUCUCCAUGAGUGCAUUGCCACCUCGCAGCCUCUUCCACUUGCUCAUUCCUGGUGUUAUUGCCUGUCUCCCACUGGAAGAGAAGGCCCUCAAGUUCAGCAACUGUUUUGCCUGUUUUGUUCACUGUGGUGAACCCCGGGCCUAGAACCACGCCUGGCACUCCCAGUAGGUGCUCAAUAAGUAUCCAAUGAGUGGACAAAUGAAUGGAUGUGUUCAACAAAUGACCCUAGAGCGUGUAUUCCUUCCAGGGACAGAGCGAGGUACUGGGGACACAGGAAGGACGAGGCAGAGCUCCGCGCUGACGAAACCAAGGGCCAAGCGUGCGAGUGAAUACGAACAUCCUGGCGUUAAAACGUCUUGCAUUCUAGUGAAAUGAGACCCAUUGGAC